AUAGUUUUGGUCCUGGACUUACCGUUCUUUUUUUUCAAGAUUAUACAUGCAAGCCUCAACAAACCAGUGAAAAUGCCCACAACCCCUAAAAAGGUGUCCUGGAGCGGGCAUCAGGCACUACUCACCCCGGGCCCAUGACGCCUUGCCACGCCACACCCCCACGGGUCUUUCAGCAGUAAUAAACAUUGGGCUAUAAGCGAAAGCUUGACCCAACUAUGAAAAUUUAGGGCUGGUUAAUUUCGUGCCAGCCACCGCGGUUAUACGAAAAGCCCAAAAUAAUGGUUAACGGCGUAAAAUGUGACUAGAGAUUUUUAUAUUAAUAACACUAAAAACUCACUGUCCAGUUGUAAAAUACUCAGACAUAGAGGAAAACCAACACAAAGUGUUUUUAAUAAUAUAUUCUUGACCACACGAAAGCUUAGAAACAAACUAGGAUUAGAUACCCUACUAUGCUAAGCCCUAAACAUUGAUAGCUAACACACAAUGCUUUCCGCCAGAGGACUACAAGUGAAAUACUUCAAACUCAAAGGACUUGACGGUGUCCCAUAUCGGCCUAGAGGAGCCUGUCCUAUAAUCGAUACCCCCCGUUCCACCCAACCCCAACUAGCACCACAAUCAGCCUAUAUACCGCCGUCGACAGUUUACCCUAUGAAGGUCCAAUAGUAGAUACAACAGCCCUAACGCUAAUACGACAGGUCAAGGUGUAGCUAAUGCUGGGGAAGAGAUUGGCUACAUUUUUUAUAAUAAAAAAACACGAAAUGCAUUAUGAAACACUGCACGAAGGUGAAUUUAGUAGUAAAAUAAAUAAGAGAGUUUAUUUUAACAACGCUCUGGGAUGCGUACACACCGCCCGUCACCCUCCUCGACAUUUUACAUUACCUUAUAUAAACACUUAAAUAUUUAGCCAGAGGAGGUAAGUCGUAACAUGGUAAGCGUACCGGAAGGUGUGCUUGGACUAAC
Molecule: non-coding RNA, 960 nt
Filed under: Scelarcis perspicillata (Menorca wall lizard)
Lineage: Eukaryota; Metazoa; Chordata; Lepidosauria; Squamata; Lacertidae
Description: partial small subunit ribosomal RNA
Rfam family: Bacterial small subunit ribosomal RNA
Source: RNAcentral